UACGUAGGGUGCAAGCGUAAUCGGAAUUACUGGGCGUAAAGCGUGCGCAGGCGGCUUUGCAAGACAGAUGUGAAAUCCCCGGGCUUAACCUGGGAACUGCAUUUGUGACUGCAUGGCUGGAGUGCGGCAGAGGGGGAUGGAAUUCCGCGUGUAGCAGUGAAAUGCGUAGAUAUGCGGAGGAACACCGAUGGCGAAGGCAAUCCCCUGGGCCUGCACUGACGCUCAUGCACGAAAGCGUGGGGAGCAAACAGG
RNAcentral lists this ribosomal RNA (252 nucleotides) under uncultured bacterium. RNAcentral describes it as "partial 16S ribosomal RNA". It matches the Rfam family "Bacterial small subunit ribosomal RNA", at positions 524 to 776 of the family's 1533-position model. The record is from RNAcentral.